GGUCAGGCUGAAGACUUACCCGAUUAGCUGAGAGGUGGUGCAUGGCCGUCGUCAGUUCGUACUGUGAAGCAUCCUGUUAAGUCAGGCAACGAGCGAGACCCACGUCCACAGUUGCCAGCAUACCCUCCGGGGUGAUGGGUACACUGUGGAGACCGCCGCUGCUAAAGCGGAGGAAGGAGUGGGCAACGGUAGGUCAGUAUGCCCCGAAUCUCCCGGGCUACACGCGGGCUACAAUGGUUGGUACAAUGGGCAUCUACCCCGAAAGGGGAAGGAAAUCUCUUAAAGCCAAUCGUAGCUCGGAUUGAGGGCUGCAACUCGCCCUCAUGAAGCUGGAAUCCGUAGUAAUCGCGUUUCAACAGAACGCGGUGAAUACGUCCCUGCUCCUU
Molecule: ribosomal RNA, 386 nt
Filed under: uncultured Methanosaeta sp.
Lineage: Archaea; Methanobacteriati; Methanobacteriota; Methanomicrobia; Methanotrichales; Methanotrichaceae
Description: bacterial SSU rRNA
Rfam family: Archaeal small subunit ribosomal RNA
Source: RNAcentral